This 672-nucleotide long non-coding RNA is filed under the name Fukomys damarensis (Damara mole-rat). Its description in RNAcentral is "lncRNA (ENSFDAG00000028399.1)". The record is from RNAcentral. Lineage: Eukaryota; Metazoa; Chordata; Mammalia; Rodentia; Bathyergidae.
AGAUAAGCAAGAUUUGGGGGUAGAGAGUUGAGAUGGUGACAUAUCUUUUAUGACUUCCCAAGUUCAUAAAUACAUGCAAGUCAAAUUCAAGCAUUUUUUUUUUUUGUAAGUCAAAUGUACCUAGUGAACAUUUGGCAAUAUUCUGGACUUGUUACCACCUUUUUGUUAGGAGGCACCAACUUCAGGUCAUGGGAAAUCAGAGCAAAGAGAGAACUGGUACCUUCAAAACUCCACACAGCAGACUCAAAGCCUGAAGUCUGAACCUGGAAUAUCACCGAAUGGCAGAAGACCAUCCUGCUCCAGCUACUUAGCUCAGAUGAGAAAACAAAUCCCAUUCUUGGUGACCUCACUUGCUCUCCAUCCACAGUGCCAGGGACAGCUUUGUGACGGAUAAACCCACGUCUGCAUACGCGUGUGUGUAUUUGUAUAUGUCCAUGGGUAUCUUUACCUUAAUCUCACACUCCAACUGAUAAAUUUAACUUUGAGGAAACCAUGUUUUUAUGGCACCAGUGCAAUGGUAUACAUCAUGGAAAAGAAAUUUAGUUGUCUUAAUUCUUCACUCAUUUCCACUAAAAUAAAUAUAGAACAGAUUCCGAAAGCCAAUGUUGAGGGCAGACUUGGUGAAUCCGUGAGCCCAUGGCUGGAAGCCUAAAAUAUUAUUUUGAAUUAACC